This is a long non-coding RNA of Brachypodium distachyon (stiff brome), 632 nucleotides long. RefSeq lists it as uncharacterized. Lineage: Eukaryota; Viridiplantae; Streptophyta; Magnoliopsida; Poales; Poaceae. The transcript is spliced from 2 exons. The record is from RefSeq and is a predicted model, not a curated record.
CCCCGACCCACUCCUGUUGUUCCGCAUCCACCCACACCACUGCAUCGCCUAAUGUUAGGGAUCGCCGGCGGCGGCGGCCUAGCGGCGGAUGAAGCGAGGGCGGCGGCUGUUGGUGCGGAAGCGGUGUCCGCCUGUGGCUGAUUAGGUUGUUCGCAGGCGAGGCCGAGGCGCGUGCGGGCAGGCGAUGGCUUGGACCAAGAUGCCGGUGCAGAGGAAGCCAAAGGGCUGGGCGCUACGGCCCAAGGUGUCCUGCAACUCCAGGCCAAAUUCAUCGUCAUCAAGGACGGGUGCGCCUAGCUCUUCCAGUGAGUAUAGGCUUCAGGGAAUUCUUGCUUCGAGGAUGCAGCUGCAGGAAGAAACCGAGGAGAACAAGCAGUAGUUGGUGAUGUGUGUGUGGGGUGGAGGGGAGAGAAGUGAAUCAGCUGAGCAAAGACAAAAAUGGUAGUAAUAGUACUAGAUGGAUAUAUGUGAAGCUUUCAUUUUUGUUAGAACUAGUGAAUGAUCUGGACUGGAGUAUGGUAUCAGUGGAAUAGAAGUUUCAAUGUAAAGCUUUUUUUUUGUCAUGAACUGAAUGCAAUGUAAAGGUGUUGGGACUGACCUUUGAUAUAUGAAAUGAAGUGAAGUUGAUGCUA